UAACAUAAUUGGCUGGUGCUCAGGGAUC
This 28-nucleotide non-coding RNA is filed under the name Rattus norvegicus (Norway rat). The record is from RNAcentral. Lineage: Eukaryota; Metazoa; Chordata; Mammalia; Rodentia; Muridae.